CUCUUUGCUUUUAAAGAUAUGCAUCCCCUAAAAGUUUUGAAAGUGUGCAUCUGUUUUAUAUCUGUCCUAAUUCACCAAAAAAUUGAAGAAGUCUUUUGUUUUCUUUUGUUUGGUAUCUGAAUUCCUAUGAUUUUUCAUUUAAAGAUGCGUUUUAAGUGGUUAGACUGAAUUGCUUACAAAACUAUCACUGUACGGUUGCAUUACUCUUUUCUAAUUACGUGUAAUCAGGCCAUUAUUAUACACACUGCUCAAACACGACUUUAUUUUGAGACUUGAAUUCCUGUGUUUCUUUCUUUUUAGUUCAUGCGCAGUGUAUCUUUAAAAUUGUAGAUUGAUCAGUUUUUGACAGCUGAGAUUUAGAUUGAGACUUCCAUCUAUGCGUUAAAUUUCUUCUCCACAUUUGAUUAUGUAUUUUCCAGUGACAAGAUGUUGUAGUUAAGCAACAUUAAUCCAAUGUCUCCGGCGCACCAGCGACAAUAUAUCCCUCCUCUAUUCAAAAUCAUUCUUUCAUAUGACUAAUUCACAUUGUUUUCUAACUUAAAGAUGAAAUUUUAUAUAUUUAUUCUGAAUUUGUUAUAAAAUUGUUAUUAACAGCAUAAAGUGGAAUCAAAUGAAGUUGAAUGGCGGGGCUGAGCAGCAAAAGAGAGGUAAUUGGGUUGAAAACCAGGAAGCGGUUGAGCCGCCAUCUCACCGCAGCCCCAAACGAAUCAAUAGACCACCGUGAAUGAUUUUGAUGACAUAGAAUGGUGCUGCUUGGUUCCAUCAAUCCCCCUAUCAUGUAAGCCACAUUCCCCUUAAACUAUCCUAUUCUUUUCAACUUUCAACAUUUUAUUUCAGAUAUCACAACGCUUAUAUUGCUCUAUGAAUAGAGUAAUUAUAUUUAACAUAUGAAAUUAUAAACUAUGAAUAUUUUUGCUUCAGUAUCAUUUGUGUCUUGGCCUUUGUUUCAAUUGGCCCCAUCCAAUUUUUAUUAUUUUUGUAAAUGUUUAUAGCAGAUAUCUGAAAUUUGCUUAUAGUGCACAAUUUUGCCAUUGUAGAUGUGUAUUUGUUUUCUUAAUGAGUAUACAUUGCAUAAUAUGAUAAAUGGAUUACGGUUGAUAGAUGUAUACAUUUGUGGGAUUAAAAUUUAAGAUGUCAUGAAAGCUUAUAAGUUGGUCUUUUAAUUGUUUAAUCAACAUAUAUGCAUUUAAUAUUUGUUCUCUCUCUCUCUCUCUCUUUUGUAAUCAUUUAAUGUUUCAGAUGUUUGAAGCAAAUGGGUAUUUUGCUAUAUGACUUUCUGCAUUUUAUUGAGACAUAAGGUGUCUUAAUAGAUGGAAAAGUUUAAAGCUAGACUAUGAUUUGUUUUUGUAAAAAGUUCUCUUAUGCAAGACUCUUCUCAUGAUAUUAUUUUUAUUCCUAUUAUAUGAUAGAUUGAAUUGAGGAUUAGUAUAUUCUACUACAAAAAGGCUAUUAAAUUCUUAUCCUUAUUCAAAAUCAGUAUAUCUUCUUCUUCUUAUUCCUAAACAAAGCUUUGUCGCCCUAAUUUUAACCUAAUAUUUUAGCAACUUUUCCCUCCUUCAAAACCUAACCAUAUUUCCUAAUUUCCCUCCUCCAAACCCUAACCAUGAUUUCCUAACUUCACUCCUCCUAAAACCUAUCUAAUUGAUUUCCAUAAACCAUAUCUCCUAACUCCCCUCCUCCAAACCCUCACCAAUAUAUUUUAAUCCUUUAUCCUAAACCGAGAUCUCUUUUUAAAACCAUACCUUUCACUUAAACCGAAAUUUCUACCUAUCUAAUUGAUUUCGAUAAACCAUAUUUCCUAACUCCCCUCCUCCAAACCCUCACCAAUAUAUUUUAAUCCUUUCUCCUAAACCGUAAUCUUUUUUUAAAACCAUACAUUUCUCUUAAACGUUCCUAAACAAAGCUUUGUUGCCCUAAUUUUAACCUAAUAUUUUAGCAACUUUUCCCUCCUUCAAAACCUAACCAUAUUUCUUUUUAUUUAUAAACCUAACAUUGUUGCCCUAAUUCCAACUAAUAUUUAACCUAAAAAAUUAUAGCCACUUUUCUCUCCUUCAAAACCUAACCAUAUUUCCUAAUUCCCCUCCUCCAAACCCUAACCAUGAUUUCCUAAUUUCCCUCCUCUUAAAACCUAAUUCCCCUCCUUUAAAACCUAACCAUAUUUCCUAAUUCCCCUCCUCCAAACCCUAACCAUGAUUUCCUAAUUUCCCUCCUCCUAAAACCUAUCUAAUUGAUUUCCAUAUUUUCUGUUGCCACAUUUUUUUCCUCACUUCCUCAACUCAUUUACCCUAAUAUAUUAUCUUUUAUCUUUUAUUUAUUAAAGUUAACCCGAAUGCUAAUUGUUGCCUUAAUUUAACUUAAAUUCAGUGCUUGCUUUUACUGUAUUACCCAUGUUUAAAAUAUCAAAUUGCAGAAAUCUCCUAUUUUUUUUUUUUAAAAAAAUUGUUUCCUACUAAACAGAUAAACUUAAAAAAAAGAAAAACAAAUCACUCCUAUUAACAAAUUGUUCCUAUUUUAUUGCAGAAAUUCCCAAUUCUUUUGAACGAAACAAAUCCCUCCUAUUUUUUUGAACAAAACAAAUCACUCCUAUUUUUUUUUUAACAAAACAAAUCAUUAUUUCCUGCUGCUUUUGCUAAUAGAUUUUGUUACUCGCAUCCUUGGAGGUUGACUGGUCUAAACUCCCAUAGAAUUUCUGAAUCUGCUAAUAUCAUUUGUGUAAGAUGAUGAUAUAUGCAAUGAUUUUCAAUGUUUUUUCUUUCUCCACCAUGUUUUGAUCUGUAGCUUUAUUUUACAAAUUGCAGAUUUUGUUGAUGUGGAUUUGGGGAUAUGCAGGUAUGUUUGUUUAUUUCACUUUCAUUAUGUAAUUGUUUCAUUCUAAUUAUUAUUUUUUCUUCCCUUUUUUUGAGUUUGUAUAGAAGUUUUUUUUUUUUUUUUUUAUAUAAAAUUGCCUCACUUUCUCUGAUGGUUCCCACUAUGUCGUUGGAUUUAUCACCAAGAAGCUGGAAGGGUUGGUUCUAUCCAGAAAGUUGCAGAUAGGCUUCGUUGUUACACUUGGUCAUGACUUCUUCAUCUCACUUCAAAAUUGCAAGUGCGUUUUCUCUCUCCAUGCGAAAAUUAUUAGCUUAUCUUACAAUGGAAUUGAUUUAAUUAAUUAAUUCAUUAAGUAUGUAACAAACAGGGCUCCACAAUGAUUUAAUUGUUUCAUUCUAAUUUAAUUUUUGUGUUUAUAUAGAAACAUUGUUAUUGUGUUAACAUUGACAAGAAAAAUCAAAUGGAUUUUUAGCUGCUCCUCCUCUUUUCUGUGACUAAGGUUAACCACACAUCUUUCUUUCCAUUCAAUUCCUCUAUUGUACAAAAUAGCUUGCAACAGCUUUUUAGGCUUCUUACAAAAUCAAAGUAAUUGUUAUAUGAUUGGUGUGGGGUUUGGUUUGUUGAUUUUGCAGUUCAGGAAUUUUCAAAUUCGGGGUUGAAAUAAGAGUAUGAGCAUUUGUUUAGUUUGAUUUUUGGUUAUUUGUAAUCCGAUGACUUUUUGAAUUGCAUUGCUAUCUAAUUUAUUAUCAUCUCUUUUUUUGUUUGUUAUAUUCUAGAAGGAGGUUUAUGCGGUGGUGGUUGUUGCAAGAAGGCCCUCGCGGUGAUAAUUUAUACGGUGGUGGUUGAUUAUACUGAUGUGACUGUGUCUUAGAUAUCCCCUGAGCUAUGCAAACUAAAAAUUAAGUUGUAAACUAUGAUUCAUAUCAUUGUUUUAAUAAGGAUUGGCCCAAUGCUUCAUGUGAUAUUCUAUUGGCUGAAUAAGGAUCUAUCUAAGCAUAUGAUUGUGUCUUCAAGAUAUGCUUAACUUACCAUUAACUAUAAGCAUGAUCAUUGCAAAACAUUAAUUGUAAAUCAUACCUUACCUACAUAAUAUAGCUAUAUAUUUCAUGUUAUUUUAAUUUACGGUUUUUAUGUGAUGUUGAACUCCUAAAUUACUAAUAUAUUGUGCUCAUCAUUGACCCGUGUGGUAGCACGGGUUAGCAAAUUAUGAGGUUUUGCUUGACAUGAAGGCAAUUUCCGUUAUCUGUCGUCUCAUUUGCAAUGACUAUUAACAAGAGUCAGGGUCGGUCGUUGAAACAUGUUGGUGUUUAUCUACCGUCUCCUGUUUUUUCACAUGAUAUUCUAUUGGCUGAAUAAGGAUCUAUCUAAGCAUAUUACUGUGUCUUCAAAAUAUGCUUAACUUACCAUUAACUAUAAGCAUGAUCAUUGCAAAACAUUAAUUGUAAAUCAUACCUUACCUACAUAAUAUAGCUAUAUAUUUCAUGUUAUUUUAAUUUACGGUUUUUAUGUGAUGUUGAACUCCUAAAUUACUAAUAUAUUGUGCUCAUCAUUGACCCGUGUGGUAGCACGGGUUAGCAAAUUAUGAGGUUUUGCUUGACAUGAAGGCAAUUUCCGUUAUCUGUCGUCUCAUUUGCAAUGACUAUUAACAAGAGUCAGGGUCGGUCGUUGAAACAUGUUGGUGUUUAUCUACCGUCUCCUGUUUUUUCACAUGGACAGUUGUACGUCGCAAUAUCACGGGUUACUUCGAGAGGUGGUUUAAAAAUAUUGAUUAAUGACGACGACGACGAUGAUAUCGAUGUUGCAUCAAAUGUGGUCUACAGAGAAGUUUUCCGUAAUGUGUAGUACUUUUUUGUGUACUGUUCAUUUUCUUACUUAUUGAAACUAUUUGCAUGUCAACGAACUUCAAUUUCCCUUUCAAAAUUAUAUGUUAUUUUAAAGUAACAGAAACUACGUACUAGAAUUAUGGAACAAUAACAAAGUCUUUGAUAUUGACAUUAUGCUUUGAUUCACGACAAUUUUUAGAUUCACGCGAACUACAGUGUCUUAUUUUUUCAGUGAAUAUUAUCUUUUUUAAAUGACAUGUGCGUUAGCACGGGUCAAUGGUCUAGUAUUCUAUUAUUAUCAUAUCAAUGAAAAUCAUUUCUAUGUUUUUUUAUGCUUUAAAAUAGUGGCAUUCUUGAUUUGUUCAUUUUGAUACUUAAAAUGUAAGCUUAUAGAUCUCAUAGUUGAUAAGAAUUACUAUUCAAAACUCUCAUUAUUGAUAAUUGUGUUUAAUCAAACUUUUUGAUUGAGAUUUUAAAUUUAUAUCUUAUCAAAUCUAUUACUCCUAAUGGUUUUAAUUUGUACCUCUUCGAACCCAAAUCUUUUAGUCGUCUCUACUUUGAUGUCCCUUUUGUGGUUGAAGUGGAUUCAUAAAGAGUGAAAUUACGAGAUAUUGAGGUAUCAGGUCUAUUUGGUUGUUUUUGUUGUGUCAUUUUCGGCUGCUUUGCUCUGUUGCACCUGUGAUUUUUGCAGUGGUUAGGAUGGUUUAUGCGUCUGGAAUUGGAUCAAGCUGCUUAAGUGUUGUGUGGUACAAUAGGUGAAAUAUUUCUCUGCAAUCGUGGUGUAGUAGAAUCAGCAUACAUUAGGACUUUUGCUGGUAUCUUGAGAUUUUUAGGGUCUGACUGUUGAAGUAUAUGGUCUCAUGUUAAUUGCCUUGAAGAAUUCCUAACUAUUGUGGAAUUGAAAGCAUAAAGUGGUGGUCCUUAUUAAGUGAUUGAGGUUGGUGGUUUGCUAUGGAAUGCCUCAGUAGACUCCAGGAAAUUUAGUGACAUUUUGGGAUUGACUUAGUACUAACACUAGCAUUGCAUCUUAGGACACUUGAUUUCAUUAGUCUUAUAUAGUGGUGUAAUCUGAUCUAAAUGUGUUUUUGGUUUCCCUUUUGAAUUUGUUGGUAGUCAUAUGAUGCACUUAAGUUGAGACUUCAUAAAUAUAUUGCAUUGAAUUGAAGGAAGAAAAAUUCAAAAGCUGUGAGUGUUCAUACUCCCAAGUUAUUGUCUUUUUUAUAUUCUUUUUUUAUUAUCAAUCAUUUACAGGUUCCAUGAGAUCAAGGACACCACUAUGAGUUAUGAAUUAAUCAAUGGAAUAGCUCUACUUCAUUGGAUAUGGAAUCCAAAGGAGUGUUUACAAAGGGGAUGACAGUUGAGAGGGCAAGCCGCGGGUCUGUUUUCCUGUCAGUUGCUGCUGUUAGGUGCUUUUUUCCUGUCAGUUUUUUCACUGUCUGCUGCUCUGGUGUGUGGCUUUGGCUGCAGUUUUUGUUUUGGUCCUGUUUUAGGCCUUCAUGUGUAGUGGUGAUUUUGAUUUGUUGGUUUGUAUUGUGAUGGGGAAGGGUGUUUUGGUUUCCUGUUGGUUGCUUGCUGCAUGCAUAAGGUUUCUAUUUUAGCAGGCACUAUACUUACUUAAAUAUGCUAAAUAUUAGUUUAACUUUAUCCUACAUAUACUGUAAUGUCUAAUGCUAUUUAUAUUAUAAUUGAUAUGCAGGUCAUUUGGAAACUUAUCAACAGUUGGAGGCAUUUUAUGUUACAUGACAGAUAGAUAUAGUAUAUGAACUAUCUUUAUAUGUUUUUGUUUAGAGGAUGUAUUAUGAUCGACUUAAGUGUGAACUAUUUUAUGCAUUAUUGAUCCUUAUGAGGUCCAUUUAUUGUACCUUUAACAAUAUUAAGUUUAUAUCGCAUUGUCUUACAUUAUCUGUUGAAUUAUUAAUCUCUUAAAAUAACACUGUUAAAUAUAUAUGACCCGGGUGGAUGAUCUAGUUAGUAUAUAAACAAAGCAUACAAACCAAGUACAUUCAUCAAAUUCUAUCUGAGCUUGCUCAUGUAUUGUAAACAUCAUAUUUUCUACAUGAGAUUGAAGAAGAAAUACAGAAAAGACAAAAACCCGCAAUAGACUCGAUACCAAUUAAAUAAGCAGAUAGAAGAGAAAACCACUUAGUCUGGCAGGCUCACAAUUCACAACCGCCACAAUUGGACUAGUGUCAACUUAACAGGACAAUCUCGUUCGUUUUAUUUAAUUAUAGAAAAAAUAUCAACUUAACAAUGCAAUUUCCAGUUCCAUAUAAACUUCCAAAUUUAGUCUAUCAAAACUCAAUUCUUCUCAAUAGCAAGGUGCUACAUUAAAUAGUAUAAUAUAACUCAAUUCUUCAAGAGCUUUUCAAACAUAACAAUCUUGGUAACCUAAAGUGAAUGAGAUGAUACCUGAGCAAGAUGACGUCCAGUGAUUACACCAACCCUUGCAGAUAAGUACUGAAAGAAGAUAGCGGCAAGGGUCAACAUAUCCUAUCGAAAUCAAAAGCGCGGGUAUAAAAGCCGGAAGUGCGCGAAUAAGAAAACCAGGAGGGGGCAUUUUACUCUUGGUCUGUUCAGAACUCAAUUGCUUAUUGUCUCUGCCUCCAGGAAGUUUUACCCCAAUAUUUGACUCAAUUGCAGUCUCUUUCACUAGUUCACGUUCACAGACAAAACAAAGAGUAGUGUUCCCUUACUUGCUGCAACCAUACAUAUACAAAAAAUCAAAAUUGAAAUUGAAAAGGAAGCGUUAGGGUUAGGGUUUAACAAAGGAGAAGAAAGUACUCACCCUUAUGACUUUGCCACCUUUGGUUUUCUUAACAAAGGACUUGUUGUGAAGCAUUGUGACGGUGGAUUGAAACGAGAUAUCUUAGUUGAAUGAAAUUGAGCUUCGAAGUGGAAGGGAUGAAAUUCAAGGAGCCGCGCUGGUUCGUUCCAUGACCUUAAAACCCAUGAACGGUUGCUUUUACACACUCUCUCUUAAACAGUUGCUCUUUUCAUUUACUUUUUUCCAUCAACGGCUAUUUAUUUAUUAUUAUUUUUUUAAGAAUUCAAGCUCUUGAUAAGAGACACCAUUUAAUUGUUUUUUAUUUAUUUUUUAUUCAAACCUCAAACGUUUUGGCGACUAGUUAAAUUGACGCUAAGUAAACUCUGCAGCAAGUUCACAACUGCUACUACUCACACCAUUUUCCUUUACAAAGUGAUUUGUCCAUUUAUAAGAAAAAAUAAAAAAAAUCAUUGGCUUUUUCUUCAAUUUCUCAAUUAUCAGAAAGUAGAUAUAAGUGUUUAUCUACAAAUUCAUUAAGAGAAGAAAAAUGCUGUACGUCAUUGGUCAUUUUUGUAAGGUAUUUUUUCCCGUAAAAAAAUUGUCUUUUGUGUGCCUCCUAUGUGUAGUGUAUGACUUUUUUUUGUAGUAUCAAACAUCUAAUUUUCUAGAGCAGUAUCAGAACAUCGUAUUUAAUAUUUUUGCCAAUGAGCCUCUCAAUAGUGAAUCAUAUGUUGCUGAUUUAGAGGUUAAGAACCUUACAUUGAAAUGGAAUUUGAGUCACAAGAAGAUGCUUAUUCUUUCUAUGCUCAAUAUGCUAAAUGUGUCGGAUUUGGUGUAUGCACUAAAAGUAGCCGUCGUUCGAAAAUUUCUAAACAAUUUAUUGAUGUGAAAUAUGCUUGCACGAGACAUGGUAAAAAACGAGAAUCGACGGUGCAAAAUCCACGUCCUUGUUUGAAGGUUGAAUGUGGGGCUGCCUUACAUAUCAAAAGAAAUUGUGGUGACAGAUGGGUGAUCCAUGAAUUCAUCAAAGAUCACAAUCAUGAUCUUUUUCCAGCAUAUGCGCAUUAUUUUCCUUGCCAUAGAAGAAUCAAUAAAGCUCAAAAGCAAUGUAUUGAUUAUUGAAACUUUGCAACAUGUUGGUGUGAAACCAAGCAAAUUUUUUGCCACACUUGCGAAACAACACGGAGGGUAUGAGAAAGUUGGUUGCUUGGAGAAAGAUAUUAAAAAUCUUUUAGAUAAGGAUCGUCGUUUGACUUUGGAAUCAGGAGAUGCAAAUGCAAUGUUGGAAUGUUGUACGCUUAUGCAAAAACAAAAUCCAAGAUUCUUUUAUGCGAUGGAUUUGGAUGAUGAUGAUGGUCGUCUGAAAAAUGUAUUUUGGAUGGAUGCAAAUGGUAUAGAUGAUUACAAAGAGUUUGGAGAUGUGAUAUCUUUUGAUACAACAUAUAUCACAAACAAAUAUAAAAUGUCAUUUGCUCCCUUCAUUGGUGUGAAUAAUCACUUUCAAUCAAGAUUGCUUGGUUGUGCAUUACUAGCAAAUGAGACCUCGGAGACUUUCACAUGGGUGAUGAAAACUUGGCUGAGAGCAAUGGGUGGUAAGAAAUUACUUGAUCCUAAACCAGCAAACACAAAAGGAGCUCCGAAAAGAAUCAAGAGUGGGAUUGAGAGAGGUCGUAAGAGAACAAGUAGUGACAAAGUGAAAAAGGUUAGAAUUUAUUGCUUUGUUGUGAUUUUCAUUUCACUAAACUUUCUUAAAAUAUUCAUAUUUAAGAUGAUUUCUCAUUGUUGGUUCUUUUCUUGCAUUUUUAGGAUUAAAGAAUCUGAAUUUGUUUUGAACACAGACAAGAAAAUAAUUUGUCAUUAAAUCACAUUCUACCUCAACAACAACUAUAACAACGACGACGACAUAAUGCAACCACAACAAUUUCAACAACAUAAUUGAACAUAAAUUCAACAAUGUAAUACCCCAAUAAUAAUUUAAACAACAUAAUUAAAACAAGAUAAGAUCACGGAUGAGCCAAACUAUGUACAAGCUCUAAAUCGUCGCGCAAUCCAGAAAAUUGUGGCGCGAUUUGUGUGAGUAUGAACACAAUAUAAGGGGUCAUUGUUCAAUUUUUUGAGUGGCUUCAAGAUAGAGAAUCUUAGGGUAACAAAUAUUGGUGUGUCGUUUUUACUCUUCCUUGUUAUCUUGUUUGAUCUGUUUAUGCUUAUAGUGUUGUUUCACGCUUGGAUUUAAGUCUGUUUGUUGUUGUUGCUUGAAACAAUUUUAUUGAUUACUCUGCUUCACACAUCUAAGUUUAUUAGUGCGAUUUUGAAUUUGAAUUCAAAAAAAAAAAAAAUGUUCCCAUAUUGUGAGUAUUAAGUUAAAUCACUUUCGAAAUAGUGUUUUAGAAACAAAAACAAAACUAAUUUAAAAGAAUAACCGACGAAAUAAGUAUCUUCCUAAAGUAGAAUUUGGUACAUCAAAAUCUGAAUUUUCCAACAGGGCCCUAUACACAGACCAUCCUACCAUAAAAAUUUGACAAAAACAAAAUAAGCAAAACACUUAAUAAUAAUAAUAUGGGAGGGAGUAAUGAUGAUUAAUGAUACCCACAUGAUGAAAUUUGUUUAAACAAAUGACAAAAGAAAAAGAUGAUUAGCAAAGGUUGGUUGGAAAGCCACGCUGUGUUAGGCUUUUUCCUAUGCUUGAAUGUCCCACCAUCACACCUCAUAACUCCUUUUUCUCAUGUGAAAUGGACCAUAGUCUAAAAAAUGUAGCAGAGGCCUCAACCGUCCCACAAUUAGAAAAUGUUGCAUUUCCUGCCAAUUCAGUCACACAUUUGUGGCAGCCAUACAUUUCAGAUCAUACAUCAAAUCAUAAGAUUGACGUUUCAAUUUUGUAAAUACAAUUUAAAACAUCAUGUUAAACUAUAAAUUACUGGAUUGAAUCUUCUGAAUUGCUUAGAAACAGAAAUGGAUUGCAUGAAAUUCAAAAUAUAUACAUAGAAUAGUACAUACAUGUUUAUACGUGUGAUAGUGAUUACACUUCAUGAGCUGAAAAAAAGCACUAGAGUUAAAAACAGUUUUUUUUUAAUAAUUAAUUAAUUUUUUGAGGGGUGUAAAUAAUUAAAAUGUAAAAACAGAUAAUUAGGAUGGUGGAGACUUGCACAAAUUUGGGAAAUGUGGAGCCCUGACAGUGUUCAGCCAUUUCAGGUGGAACCCCUUGUGUGGCUGAGCUUUCAUAGUCUGCUUUUACUCUUCUAUUAUUUUGUAUUAUGUUUAUGAUGAGAGUCUUCCUUCAACUCACUCACAUUUUGACUUUGGAAAAAUGUCCUUAGAGUAUGCAUGCUUGAAAUAGAAAUUAUAGUUUUCUUUACCGAUGCACUCCAUAAAUGAAUUUUCCAAAGAUCAUAGAUGUUGGUUGGUGGAUAAUGAUAAGAUAUUUUACAUUUUGUGUUUUAUUCAGUAAUUACGAGUUGUUUGAUCGUCAUCCAACAACUAAUAUCAGUUGAUUGUAGGACUUGGUAAAAUAUGGAUUCAUAAUUUUAGUGUUCAAAAAUAAAAUUAAGAUGCAUAAUAAUCAUGCAUGAAUUUUACCAUGAACCUUAAAUCUACCUUUGGAACAUUAAAUUUAUAAAGACAAGGCAAUGAGGUUAUUCUCGUUUUAAUGUGAAUAGCUACAUUUUUAUCUUGUUUCUAUCUUUUUAUUGAUGAACCUGCUUUUUUUUUUUUUGUUACAAGAUAAACCUGCUUUUAUUCAACAAAUUAUUAUUAAUGAAAUGAUAUGAUUUUUCUCCUGUAAAAAAGAAGAAAAAAAAACACAAGCUGUGUAUUAUUAAAUGUGUCACCCUACCAUACCAAAUAAUGCACCUGACUGCAUCACAAAAUAAUGACUUAAAAUAAAAAAUAAAAAUACCAAAAAAAUAAAGAUUCAAAGAUUAUCAGCUGGACGGUGCUUCAUUCUUCUUAUAUCCUAAGCAACAAUGACCCUACUUAUCAGGCUGCACAUACUUGAAUUGAAUAUUCUCAUUUUUUAUACUUUUUAGCUUAUAUAUGUUUUUAGUGUGAUAAAAUUGCGAUUUUUUAUAGUGCUGCAUAAAUUUUAUUUAAUAUCAGUCUCUACUUUUAUUAAUUUUUUCAAAAUAAAUUAGUGUUUUUUUAAUCUCUUCGUUUAAUCCCUAUAAAAUAAUACUAAGAAAUAAAAUUAAAAAAUUUAUGUAAAAAUUGUGAGUUUUAUAUUGAAUAAAAUCAUAUUCAACCAUACUUUCAGUUUUUUGGUGCCAAGUCAUCAUCUGUCGUGGAAGGAGCAAAGUAAAAAGGUACAUGAGACUGAAGAAGAAAGGUGGUAAUGUGAUUAGAAUUUUAGCUUUAAAAAGUUAUCAUACCACCCUGCCAUUUUCUCUUCUCCUUUUCUUUUGGACAUUCCUUUCAGCUUUCUCAGAUUUUGCUAAACACACCACCAUUCCUUAACAUACCCUUUUUCCUUCUGUCAACUUUUUCAUAACCAUUCAUUCAUUCAUUCAUUUUGGUCUAGUUCCUCAAUCUACAAUUUCAUGAUCAGAAGAAUAUAGCAUCAUGGUUAGUUUCUGAAUUAUGAGUUUGAGUUUUCUUUCUGUUAUUGUUCUCUUUUACUUUUUGUUUUUGGAUCAUAUACUAUAUAUUAACUUUUUGUUUUCUGGCUUGAUUGUUCAGGGAACACCUGUGAACAUCAUUGUUGGAUCACAGGUUUGGGUUGAGGAUCCUGAGAUUGCAUGGAUUGAUGGUGAAGUCACAAAAAUCAAUGGCACAAAUGCUACAAUCAUUACCACAGAUGGCAAAACUGUAAGAUUUUUACUUGAUCAUUAAACUGGAUUACUAAAAGCCGUGUCCUUAGGAAUUAGGAUUAUGGACACCGGACAUGCUACUAACACUAUAACAUGUAGAGACUAGUAUUUAAGAAGAUGAAAGUGAGUGAAUGUUACCACAUGCUUCAGUAUUGUGUCGGUGUCAAACACUUAUUGUGUAUACCUUUGAUCUGAAGUGCCGGUGCUACAUAGCUUAGUAAACUUGAUUAGAAUAAUUCCAUAUCUUAGAUGUUAAAUAAUAGGUUGUCACAGACAGGUGCAGAAUUCUGCUCUUUGACUAGAAUAUAAUGCCUACUUUGGAUCCAAAUGAUGAUAUUAUGCUUAUAUGAGAAUUGUAUGGAAUUCGAUCAACUUUAAAUUUGGUUUUUUUUAGUUCUUUGAAUGGACUUUCUGCAAGAUUUCAACCAAAGAGUUAUGAAAAUUUAAAAUUAUGAUAGAUGCUUAUGUGAUUCUGCUUCCGCAUAUAAAGCUUAAAACAUUAGCAAAUGUUAACUGAGAAUCACUAACAUCAAUCUAAAAUCCUAGGACUAGCUCUCAAACGAGUUUCCAGCUUCAUCGUGGAUUAGACGCAAUAAGCAUUUAAAUAUAAGUGAUUGAAUAUCCUUAUUGAGAAAAUACAGAUAGAAAUUAUUCUUUUCCCUUAAGCACCUUUUAGCUAAACAAUUUCCAAAAGCUACACAUGAUAAGUCAAGAAUAAUUGAUAUUCAAGUUAAGUCUUCCUAAGAUUGCUUGCUCAAGCACCACCAUUUGAUUGAAUUUCACAGACCUCUUUCAUAUCUAGCCAGAAUCCUGGCCCAAAUUCAACAUUCCACUUCCAAAAAAUGUAUCACUAUACUCAUAACUUUGAUGCUUGAAGUGCAAGAAUAAAGAAGCAUAUAUACUAAACAUUAGCAUUAUGCUCAAUUUCAGGUUGUGGCAGAAAUUUCAAGUAUUUACCCUAAAGAUACAGAGGCACCACCUGCAGGGGUUGAUGACAUGACCAAGCUUGCAUACCUCCAUGAACCCGGAGUCCUUUAUAACCUUUUGUGUCGUUUUUCACUCAACGAAAUAUAUGUAAGUCACAACCAGAUAAUCAACUUCUCAAUAUAUAUCUCUGGGUUAAAUAUGUUUAGUCCCUGUAAUGCUCUCCAAUUAAUACGCACUUUUCAGUCCUUACAAAUUACAAAACCGUAUACAUAUUGAUUAAAGGAGUAACAUCUGACCAGUAUUAAUGAAAUAAGCAGACGUAUACAGGGAAUAUCUUGAUUGCGGUGAAUCCUUUUCGUAGACUACCACACUUGUAUGACAGCCAUAUGAUGGAGCAGUACAAAGGAGCAGCAUUUGGAGAGCUUAGUCCUCAUCUUUUUGCUGUAGCAGACACAUGUUACAGGUAUAGAUCAAUGUAGAAAUAGAUUUUGUUGUCUGUCACAGGUAACUUAGAAAUCAAUUUAUUACUAGAGUAAACUAACUAGUUUAAUAUAUCAGAGCAAUGAUGAAUGAAAAUGGAAGUCAAUCCAUUUUGGUAAGUGGAGAAAGUGGAGCUGGUAAAACCGAGACGACUAAAAUGCUUAUGAGAUAUCUAGCUUUCAUGGGAGGUAGAUCGAAUACCGAAGGAAGGACAGUAGAACAGCAAGUUUUGGAGGUGAGAUUGAAUUAUUGAACUAAGUAAAAGUUACAAAUUUGUUUCUUGGUUAACUCAAAUAUAUAGUAAUUGCAUUAUAAAUUCAUCAGUCCAAUCCAGUGUUGGAAGCAUUUGGAAAUGCCAAAACUGUGAAAAACAACAAUUCAAGGUAAAUAUUGUAUAGAUAUUUUCUUAAGCCAUAUAUAUUCCCAGCAUAAUUUCCAUUUGAAUUUGUUUUACAAAAUUAUUGAAUUUUUUGGCAGUCGUUUUGGUAAGUUUGUUGAAAUUCAAUUUGACAAGAAUGGGAAGAUUUCUGGAGCUGCGAUCCGUACGUACCUCCUUGAAAGAUCUCGUGUUUGCCAAGUUUCUGACCCGGAGAGAAACUAUCAUUGCUUUUACAUGCUUUGUGCAGCUCCGCAAGAGGUAACCUUUUUAUAACCAUCAUGAAAAAAUUAGUAAUAUAUGACUAAGGGUUAAACGGAUACCAAACCCUGGUGAAGGAGAAAAUAUUAACGGUUAAAAUUUGCUUGAUAGGAUGUUAAGAAGUACAAGUUAGGGGAUCCAAGGAAAUUUCGCUAUCUUAAUCAAUCAAGUUGUUAUGAAGUGUCAAAUGUAGAUGAUGCAAAAGAAUACUUAGAGACAAGAAAUGCAAUGGAUAUUGUAGGCAUCAACCAGGAUGAGCAGGUAUGUAUUACGUCAAAGUGCAUCACAGUUUCAUGAAGCAUUGAUUUGUGUUUGUGAAGACAUGAUCGAACAAAAUUCUCUCCACAGGAUGCUAUCUUCCGUGUUGUAGCUGCAAUUCUUCAUCUCGGAAACAUUGACUUCGUCAAAGGGAGCGAAUUUGAUUCUUCCAAAUUGAAAGAUGACAAAUCACUCUACCACCUUCGAACAGUUGCCGAGUUAUUCAUGUACAAGCUUUGAUCCGACUGUCAAAUUCAUAUAAAUCCAAAGCUUGGCCAUCAUUGUCUCUUAACAUGUUUAUGUUCAGGUGUGAUGAGAAAUCGCUAGAAGACUCACUUUGCCAGCGCGUCAUUGUUACCCCUGAUGGAAACAUUACGAAACCACUAGACCCUGAUGCAGCUUCUUUGAGCCGAGAUGCUUUGGCGAAGACUGUUUACUCCAGAUUGUUUGAUUGGUAAUUAACCAUAUAUUUGAACUGAAUUAACCAUGUAAUAAAGGAUUUACAGUGCGUACGGUGUCUAUCAAAAUUUUGUAUCAAAAUAACACUUUUCUAAAGUAUGCACUCUUCUAAUAUGGCAGGAUUGUGGAUAAGAUUAACAGUUCAAUUGGUCAAGACUCUAAUGCAGUUAGCCUAAUAGGAGUUCUUGACAUUUAUGGAUUUGAAAGUUUCAAAAUCAACAGGUAAGUAUGAGAAUUAUAUCUGUCAGAAAACAAUUUAUACAUCUCUAUAUUAUAAUAUUAUUUGUUCUCUAUUUACAGUUUUGAGCAACUAUGCAUCAACUUAACAAAUGAGAAGUUACAACAACAUUUUAAUCAGGCAAGGUUAUAACUUCUAAAUACCGUUUGCGCAUCAUUAUUGUUCCAAAUGAAUAAUAAUAUAGAAAUACUGUUUCAAUUUCAACAGCAUGUAUUCAAGAUGGAGCAAGAAGAGUACACAAAAGAGGAAAUUGAUUGGAGCUAUGUAGAAUUUGUGGAUAAUCAGGAUGUUCUUGAUCUUAUUGAGAAGGUAAUUACUAAUUAGAGACUUAUUAUGUAUCAACAUUGGUUGUACAUGAACUUGUCUACCAAAUAAAAUUCUGAAACUCUUUAUUUGUCCUGAAUGCAAAAACCUGGUGGAAUUAUUGCGCUUCUUGAUGAAGCAUGGUAUGUCAUUUCUUACUGAAAAAUCUUUGAAUACAUUCAAAUUUCAAAAUACAUAACCAUAUUUGCUCAUAAUAUGCCUGUAAAAGAUGUAAAAAAACACCAAAAAUUAAAAGAUGAAAAUUUAAUUAUAUUCUUGUUUUUUCAGUAUGUUUCCAAAGUCAACUCAUGAGACUUUUGCACAAAAGAUGUACCAAACAUACAAAGCACACAAGCGGUUCACCAAGCCAAAACUUUCUCGAACAGACUUCAUAGUUAAUCAUUACGCCGGAGAUGUAAGUGUACUAAAUUAUAAAUGAUUUUGUCAAAAACUAAAGAUGAUAACUUCUUGUCACAAAUCCUUUUGAUGUACACAGGUCACAUACCAAGCAGAUUAUUUUCUUGAUAAGAACAAAGAUUAUGUUGUUGCAGAACAUCAAGCUCUUUUAUGUGCUUCAAAUUGCACAUUCGUUGCUAAUCUUUUUCCUCCUUUACCUGAGGAAACAUCAAAGCAAUCAAAAUUCUCUUCCAUUGGCUCACAAUUUAAGGUAAGAAUAUUUUUACAACAUUGAUUUGUUCUGCAUAUUUCCGGAAAUUCUCGAUCCAUGAAUUACUUCUGAAUUAAAUUUUAAUAUCCAGCAACAACUGCAAUCUCUCAUGGAGACACUAAGCACAACAGAACCACAUUACAUAAGGUGUGUGAAACCAAAUACAGUUUUGCAGCCAGGAAUAUUUGAGAACUUCAAUGUCCUAAACCAGUUAAGAUGUGGGGUGAGUUUUUUUCUCUCUCUUUUUCCUAUUGUCUAUUAAAUGUAUGAAUGUUUCGUUAAUUCGAGAAAAUGUCGCCGAAUGACAUUUAUGUCAUUACUCUUGUAGGGAGUACUUGAGGCAAUUAGGAUCAGUUGUGCUGGAUAUCCAACUAAAAGAACAUUUGAAGAGUUCCUUGAUCGAUUUGGAAUGCUAGCACCUGAUGUCCUUGACGGGUAUAUAAGCAUAAACAAAGUACAUGUAUCUUGUCCACAAUUGGACCAAAUACAUGUAUUUUGCUCAUAUUUAAGUCUGGAGUAUUACACAAGGAAAUGAAAAUGUUUUUUUUUUUUUAAUAAAAUUGAUUGUCACCUUCAAGAAAAUGGAGUAAGAAUGAUGAGAUAAAGAUGUAAUACAAGUAUUUUUAUGUUAAUCUUCUUGAAGAUGAACUUGAAAAUAACAAUAGGCAUAACUUAUGGUGUAGCUUAUGUAAUUGAUAAUCAAUUCAGACUCCUUUUAAGAUAAAUACCAUAGAUCUAUAUCUCAUUGUUCUACAAGAUAUAUUUUGUGCUUUGCAAAACAAAAUGAUAAUGAAUGCUUUCGUGUAUGCAGAUCCGAUGAGAAAAAGGCAUCUAUUGCAAUCUGUGAUAAGAUGGGUUUAAAAGGCUAUCAAGUAAGUCUAUACAUGGAAAAAGUUUUAUAAAGAAGCAAAAGGAAUAAUUAAAAAAAAAAUAAAAAAAAAAUCAGGAUUUAUGUAAUAAGCUCUAAUGCAUUUCCUUUAAUGUUUCAAUCAGAUGGGAAAAACAAAGGUAUUCCUCAGAGCUGGUCAGAUGGCCGAAUUAGAUGCACGAAGAGCCGAAGUCUUAGCAAAAGCAGCUAGACUCAUACAGAGACAAAUCCGAACACAUUUAGCCCGAAAAGAGUUCAUCACCAUGAAAAAGGCCACAAUUCAUAUGCAGAAGAUUUGGAGAGGUGUCACCUUUGCACACAAAAAACUAACUUGUAUUCUUAGUACUUGUUCUCCCUUUGCUUAGCUGACUUAUAUUACUUUUCUUCACGCUUCUUAUAUCAGCAAAGCUUGCUCGGGAACUCUAUGACGAUAUGAGGAGAGAAGCAGCUUCUAUCCGGAUACAGAAACAUGUCCGUGCACAUAGAGCAAGGGUGUAUUAUGCAUCAUUGCAAGCAUCAGCUAUUGUUAUUCAAUCAGGGUUGAGAGCAUUAGCUGCACGAAACGAAUAUAGGUACCGAAGAAGAACAAAGGCUUCAACCAAAAUUCAGGUAAAGACAACAUUAUAAGGAAUACAUAACACGAACAUAGAUCAUGACAUAGAUAUAAAAAUGCUCAUCUAAAUUAUCAUCAAUAAAAAUUUGAAGAAGCUUGGGACACAAGUAAAAAUAAUAUCAAAUUAUAAUACUUUAACUUUUCAUUGAUAAUUCUCAUUAUUCAAAUUUAUUUAUUCUUACAGACACAAUGGAGAAAAGUUCAAGCUCUUUGUAGUUACAAACAGCAGAAGAAAUCAACUGUUAUACUUCAAUGUUUGUGGAGAGCUAAAGUUGCACGAAAAGAGCUCAGAAAGCUUAAAAUGGUGAGUUUCUGUUCGAACGAAGUGUGUUCUAACAGUUUUACUUCUUUGUAUCCUUUUCUAGAAUUUUACGCCAAUUCUUGUAGAAUAUCUAUAGUAACAAUUUAAAGUUAUUGUGCAGGCUGCAAGGGAAACUGGAGCACUUAAGGAAGCAAAAGACAAAUUGGAGAAACGUGUUGAGGAGCUUACAUGGAGACUAGAUGUUGAAAAGCACAUGAGGGUAUGUAUAGACUCUCAAAUACUUCACUGUCAUAAACACUGCAUGGAUUCAACAAAAAAAAAUUAUUUUGAUUAAUAUUAAAAGGUUUAAGGGCUGGUUUACUAUAAGAAAAUAUUUUGUUGAAAGCUUAUGUGUUGUAAGAAAAUAGCUUAGAGUUGUUCGAUCGCGGUUUCAUCCUUAUUUGAGCGAUUGAAAAUAGUUGAACCAUGACCUAGUUUGAUGUCCAGUUUGAUUUUUAAAACAUUGAUUGAAAUCAACCUCCAACAUUUUAAGUAAAAAUGAAAAUGGAAAUACGACCCUUACUUUCAUUCAAAAUAAUUUUUCUUUAACAUUUUAAUUUAGAGGUUAACUAUUGAGUACAUACUAUUCAAGAUAGUAGCGAGAAGAGAAACCUUAAUUAUUCAUGCAACAUUUUAUCUAACCUGAAAAAUAUAAAAUGCAGGUUGACCUUGAAGAAGCUAAGGGGCAAGAGAUUUUGAAAUUACAAAAUGCAUUACAAGAAAUGCAAGGUCGGUUAGAUGAAGCUCAUGCUGCAAUUAUACAUGAAAAAGAAGCAGCAAAAAUAGCAAUUGAAGAAGCACCACCAGUAAUAAAAGAGGUACCUGUUGUGGAUAAUACCAAGCUGGAGAUUCUGUCACAUAAAAAUGAGGAACUGGAGGUAAAUCUGAAACUUUUGUCACAUUGAUAUUUAGAAUAUUUUACUUUCACUAUUAAAAUCACAGGACUGUAAAAAUAGAUUAGUAAACAGUUCCAGUAUGCUAUAUUUCUUUGUUUAUAUUUUGUCGAUGAGGUGUCAGGUCAAUAAUAAUAUUUUUACUUUGUAACCUCAAGGAACCGAAUUCAAUUCCAAUAUGGUAUUGACACGUUAGAAUAAAAAAUACCUGUUUCUGAAAACCUGAUCGUGUAUAAAUAAUUUUCACUUGACACAUACUAUGAUGACAAGAAAUUGUAUUGAAAUUCUUAAAAUACAGAGCGAAGUAGAAGAGCUAAAAAACAAGAUCAAAGAAUUUGAAGAAAGGUACACGGAAAUUGAAAGGGAGAAUCAAGCAAGGCUGAAAGAGGCAGAAGAAGCACAGAUUAAAGCAACACAACUUCAGGAGACUAUUGAAAGGUUGUUAAGAAUAUAAUUAACCACAAAUAUAUAUAUAUAUAUAUAUAUAUAUAUAUAUAUAUAUAGACAUACAAACACACAGACACACACACACACACACCAUCAUAAACUGGCAUUGACUAUCUAUUCCUUAUUAUUACAGAUUGGAAUCAAGUUUGUCAAACCUUGAAUCUGAGAAUCAGGUUCUUUGCCAACAGGCUUUGGUGGAAUCAAAAAAUGAAGAUCUCUCUGAAGAGAUCAAAAUGUACGAUCCAAUAUAACAUUUUCAUCAUUUACUAUUACUAUUUUUAUGAUAUUUAGCUGUCAAAAACAAUUAUCAAAAUAAGGCUGCACUUGAGUUCUAUGUAGAACCAACACUUCUUAUUGAAGGCGUGUACAAGUACAAUAUCCGACAUGACACUCACAAGUCACACCUGUGGUUACAUUCAAUCACUUAUGUAUCAACAUGACAGUGAUGGUGUUGUGUUCGGUAUUCUAUACAUUAUUUUAGUGAAGAUUUGAAGCUUUCCACCUAAAUGUCACAGAUUAUUUUUCCGUAUCACAGGCCAUAAUGUUCUUAUAUGUGACAUUAUUUGAUAAUAUUUUUAGGAAGGACUAUUGAAAUAUAAAACUAACAUAAAAAAUUUGAUUCUGUUUCCAGCCUCAAGGAUCAAAUAUCAAAUUUAGAAUCAGAGAAUGAAUGUCUAAGGAGCCAGGCAGCAGUUGUGGUAGAACAGAAAAUUCAUCCAGAAAAAACAGAAACGGAUCAGGAGGUUUCUGUUGUACAACAGAUUCAACCAAGAUCUAUUGAAGAUAACAUGACAACACAAAUCAAGGUACAAUACUUUGAUCUUUCCCUUAUAAUCAUUUCAUCAUGUGACAAUUAUCCUUUAUGAUGCUGCAGGACUUGGACAAUGGAAAUAAAACAGAAGAAGAAAUGCAUGCGAAAAAAGUAUUUCGAUCUUACUACAAUUAUUCUUUAAGAAAUUUUGUGCAAGUGAUUCAUAACAGUGUGUUGAUUUGAAUGAAUUUAAUUAUGUUUUCAGGAACCAAGAGUAGCUGUUUCCUUUCUUACAAAGCAAAGA
RNAcentral lists this long non-coding RNA (20340 nucleotides) under Medicago truncatula (barrel medic). RNAcentral describes it as "long non-coding RNA (MTRU_LNC008574)". Lineage: Eukaryota; Viridiplantae; Streptophyta; Magnoliopsida; Fabales; Fabaceae. The record is from RNAcentral.